GGGCUCGUGGUCUAGUGGCAUGACGGAUCCUUGGCGUGGAUCAAAUUGGGGGUUCGAUUCCCCCCGAGUCCA
Molecule: transfer RNA, 72 nt
Filed under: archaeon GW2011_AR10
Lineage: Archaea
Also listed under: 1 other name
Description: tRNA-Ala
Rfam family: tRNA
About the family: Transfer RNA (tRNA) molecules are approximately 80 nucleotides in length. Their secondary structure includes four short double-helical elements and three loops (D, anti-codon, and T loops).
Source: RNAcentral